AGCGUUGUUCGGAAUUACUGGGCGUAAAGCGUACGUAGGCGGCUUUGUAAGUUAGAGGUGAAAGCCCGGGGCUCAACUCCGGAAUUGCCUUUAAGACUGCAUCGCUUGAAUCAUGGAGAGGUUAGUGGAAUUCCGAGUGUAGAGGUGAAAUUCGUAGAUAUUCGGAGGAACACCAGUGGCGAAGGCGACUAACUGGACAUGUAUUGACGCUGAGGUACGAAAGCGUGGGGAGCAAACAGGAUUAGAUACCCUGGUAGUCCACGCCGUAAACGAUGAUGACUAGCUGUCGGGGCGCUUAGCGUUUCGGUGGCGCAGCUAACGCGUUAAGUCAUCCGCCUGGGGAGUACGGCCGCAAGGUUAAAACUCAAAGAAAUUGACGGGGGCCUGCACAAGCGGUGGAGCAUGUGGUUUAAUUCGAAGC
RNAcentral lists this ribosomal RNA (421 nucleotides) under uncultured Alphaproteobacteria bacterium. RNAcentral's name for it is "bacterial SSU rRNA". It matches the Rfam family "Bacterial small subunit ribosomal RNA", at positions 537 to 957 of the family's 1533-position model. The record is from RNAcentral. Lineage: Bacteria; Pseudomonadati; Pseudomonadota; Alphaproteobacteria.